Molecule: long non-coding RNA, 761 nt
Organism: Magnolia sinica
Lineage: Eukaryota; Viridiplantae; Streptophyta; Magnoliopsida; Magnoliales; Magnoliaceae
Exons: 4
Source: RefSeq, a predicted model, not a curated record
CAAGCCUCUCUCCCCUCUCUCAGCCGUCUCUCCCCCCAAAAUCAGAAAACCCCCCAAAUCCCGACCCCCCUCUCUCAGGCAAAAUAGGAAAAAGAGAAGGCAUUUUCUACGGAUCGUCCAAAAUCCUCGCAUUCCAGAGCCGCUCAUCCAAGAUUCUAAGCUGAACAUUAAUCCUUUGAAAGAGAUGGAGCUGAUUCUGUGUGGGGGUGAAUUCUACAAUGGUAGUAAGACAUUUGUAUAUGGUAACUUGUAUUGAUAUGAUGUAGAAAAGUGUGAAUGGAAGUUGAUUUCAAGCCCUAGUAGCCCACCGCCUUGGAGUGCGCACCCAGCAGUUGCUUGGAAGAAUCAUCUCUACAUUUUCGGUGGUGAGUUUACUUCCCCAAAUCAAGAGCGUUUUCACCACUAAAAGGUAACUUCUUGGAGCUAACAUGCUCUUCUUAAACAGGUCCAUCUAUAAUAACAAAUGUCUGCCUAGGGUCUGUUCUCAACCUAACUGUACAAGAGCAACUAAAGAUGGAAUGGACAUUCGGGAUGGGGUAGUGCAGGAUGUCUACCCCGGAUAUGUUUAUUACUUGUUGGGAUACUUGUUCUGUUUCCUCUACACAGAUGAUAGAAGAAAAUGCGCGGUUAUGAAAUGAUUUUGCUAUACUCCAAUAUCUAUUUCCCUGUACUCUGCUAUUGUUUCUUGUUAUUUGACAAGUCUUGGUUCCAAUGCAUGUGAAUCGAUUACAUAUUAUCCAACAGGAAAUACUUUACGUGGA